This 524-nucleotide ribosomal RNA is filed under the name uncultured bacterium. RNAcentral's name for it is "partial 16S ribosomal RNA". It matches the Rfam family "Bacterial small subunit ribosomal RNA", at positions 28 to 523 of the family's 1533-position model. The record is from RNAcentral.
GACGAACGCUGGCGGCGUGCCUAAUACAUGCAAGUCGAGCGCAGGAAAUCGACGGAACCCUUCGGGGGGAAGUCGACGGAAUGAGCGGCGGACGGGUGAGUAACACGUAAAGAACCUGCCCCCAGGUCUGGGAUAACCACGAGAAAUCGGGGCUAAUACCGGAUGGGUCAUCGGACCGCAUGGUCCGAGGAUGAAAGGCGCUUCGGCGUCGCCUGGGGAUGGCUUUGCGGUGCAUUAGCUAGUUGGUGGGGUAAUGGCCCACCAAGGCGACGAGGCAUAGCAGACCUGAGGGGGUGGUCGGCCACACGGGGACUGAGACACGGCCCAGAAUCCGACGGGAGGCAGCAGUAGGGAAUCUUCCACAAUGGACGAAAGUCUGAUGGGGCAACGCCGCGUGAACGAUGAAGGCCUUCGGGUCGUAAAGUUCUGUUGUAAGGGAAGAACAAGUGCCGCAGGCAAUGGCGGCACCUUGACGGUACCUUGCGAGAAAGCCACGGCUAACUACGUGCCAGCCGCCGCGGUAA